GACGAACGCUGGCGGCGUGCUUAACACAUGCAAGUCGCACGGAAAGACCCUGCUUUUGUGGGGUGCUCGAUUGGCGAACGGGUGAGUAAGAGUUGAGUAUCCUGAACUUGACUUUGGGAUAACUUUAGGAAACUGGGACUCAUACCGGUUCGGAGCUCCUGCUGCAUGGUGGGGGUAGGAAAGUUUCGGCGGUUGGGGAUGGGCUCGCGGCUUAUCAGCUUGUUGGUGGGGUAGUGGCUUACCAAGGCUUUGACGGGUAACCGGCAUGAGAGUGUGACCGGGAACAGUGGCACAGACAUACGGCCCAGAGUCCUACGGGAUGCAGCAGUGGGGAAGAGUGCACAAUGGACCGAAGUCUGAUGCAGCAACGACGCGUGCUGGAUGAUGGCCUUCUGUUUGGAAGCCGCAAUCGCCUGGGACGAUGCGUGAUUGACGGUAAUGGGUAAAGAAGCACCGGCUAACUACGUG
Molecule: ribosomal RNA, 468 nt
Filed under: uncultured bacterium
Lineage: Bacteria
Description: partial 16S ribosomal RNA
Rfam family: Bacterial small subunit ribosomal RNA
Source: RNAcentral